This 971-nucleotide long non-coding RNA is filed under the name Olea europaea subsp. europaea. Lineage: Eukaryota; Viridiplantae; Streptophyta; Magnoliopsida; Lamiales; Oleaceae. The record is from RNAcentral.
CUUGGUUAUAUGUUAUAAGAAUUCUACUACAAAAAGGGAACUACUAUUGUCAAAUAAUAUUAUACUAUAUUAUAUUAAUAUAUUUUAAAUUCCUAACAUCGACUACCACCAUGGCUACCUCUUCGACCACCUUACCCUGUCUACCCACAAUCCCUUUUCCGACGACUCCAGCACCUCCUCAGCCUCUACCAGUCCAAUUCUCACUGCCACCACCUCCUUCAGUUCCCUCCCCUCCGACUUCUCUCUUCCUUCGUCACCACCUCACACCAUCAUACCACCCUUCUCGGCCGGUUCUCCGCCCAUCGUAAAAUCGCUCUUUGCCCCUCUCUUACAGACUCCACCACACUCGCUCUCUUUCCUCUUCCGUUUCUCAUUAAUUUACCACCCAAAAAUUCAUCUCUUUCACAGUUUCACUACGUCUUCUUUCUUUUUUCUCUUGACGAUGCCAAUUCAAGAUCAAUUAUUUCAAUUAUUUCGUACUCAUAAAUACAAAGCCUUUCAGUACUGCAUUACUGAUAAAACUUUCGAGCCCAAGAACUUGAGUAUUAUUAAAAUUGGCCCAUUAUUUCGUUCCCAUUACGAAUCUUUUUGUUCCAAUGCGCCACUCUACUUGGUUAAUUGUGAUUAUAGGGCCCCCAAUGCAAUGAAGGUGAAAACUGAAAAGGUCGAGAAUUUGGGGGCCCUGAAGGAUCAGAGGCUACUGGAUAUGUGUGCGAAGAGAUUUGAGAUUGGGAGGUUGAGUAAAUUACUUGGAUUCGUAGCUAUGCAUUUAACAUCUGAGUAGGAGGAACCGUAUGAUAAAAUGCUUGCCAAGCUAGGUUGUCGAAAGUGGUCCAAGAGUUUGUUUAAUUGUUUAUUACGCCAUCGUGGUGGUGGUGGCAGAAAGAUUUUUUUUUUUUCUUUUUUUUUUUUUUUAGUAUGAUUGCAAUUAGUUUUUUCUAAUUUUUUUUUUAGUUUUAUUUAAAUAUGAG